This 71-nucleotide transfer RNA is filed under the name Marmota monax (woodchuck). Its description in RNAcentral is "tRNA.Ala". It matches the Rfam family "tRNA". Rfam says of the family: Transfer RNA (tRNA) molecules are approximately 80 nucleotides in length. Lineage: Eukaryota; Metazoa; Chordata; Mammalia; Rodentia; Sciuridae. The record is from RNAcentral.
GGGGUUGUGGCUCAUCGGUAGAGCACUUGCCUAGCAUGUGUGAGGCACUGAGUUCGAGCCUCAGCACCACA